GAGGAAUAUUGGUCAAUGGACGGAAGUCUGAACCAGCCAAGUAGCGUGCAGGAUGACGGCCCUAUGGGUUGUAAACUGCUUUUGUAUGGGGAUAAAGUUAGGGACGUGUCCCUAUUUGCAGGUACCAUACGAAUAAGGACCGGCUAAUUCCGUGCCAGCAGCCGCGGUAAUACGGAAGGUCCAGGCGUUAUCCGGAUUUAUUGGGUUUAAAGGGAGCGUAGGCUGGAGAUUAAGUGUGUUGUGAAAUGUAGACGCUCAACGUCUGAAUUGCAGCGCAUACUGGUUUCCUUGAGUACGCACAACGUUGGCGGAAUUCGUCGUGUAGCGGUGAAAUGCUUAGAUAUGACGAAGAACUCCGACUGCGAAGGCAGCUGACGGGAGCGCAACUGACGCUUAAGCUCGAAGGUGCGGGUAUCAAACAGGAUUAGAUACCCUGGUAGUCCGCACAGUAAACGAUGGAUGCCCGCUGUUGGUACGUGGUAUCAGCGGCUAAGCGAAAGCAUUAAGCAUCCCACCUGGGGAGUACGCCGGCAACGGUG
RNAcentral lists this ribosomal RNA (539 nucleotides) under uncultured bacterium. Its description in RNAcentral is "bacterial SSU rRNA". It matches the Rfam family "Bacterial small subunit ribosomal RNA", at positions 356 to 896 of the family's 1533-position model. The record is from RNAcentral.